GGGCUCAGGGGCCGAGAGGGAGCUGGGCUUGGGGCGGGGCCGAGACGGAGCGAGGGGUCCAGGGUGUGAGAAACGGGGAGGGGUUUGAGGAGGGGAUUGGAGUGUGGCUCAAGUUCGGGAGGCGUUACCUGCGGAGGGUUUGAGGCAGGCCCAGGAGCGAGCCCACGGUCUGCCGACGCGGGGCCAGCGGCGGGCCCCAGGAUCCGGAGCUUCGGGCGGGGCCGAGUCCAGGUUUGGGGCCCGGGAGGUGGGGCCGGUUAGGGCGAGGGUCCCCGGGAUCGUAGUGUCAGGCCUUGGGCCAACGUAGGCACUCGCAGUUCCUCCGCCUUCAGGAAGGUCUUUUUGGCAGGGGCCUUACGGGUGCGCGCUUCGGUCCUGGAGGCGUUAUCCUAGCCUCCUCUCCAUCAGCGCCACCCGUCUGGGGCCCGAUAGGAGGGAGCUUUCUGUCUGUCCCCCAGCCUUUGGACUGUCACCAAACAAGCCAUCCGUUCACCAAAUACUUAUUAAGCGCCUACCAUGUGUCUGGCAAGGGAGGUGUAACAGUGAGAAAAACUAGGUGUGGUCCAGGCCCUCCAGGGGCUCAGGGGCUCGUGGAAGAAGUGGACAUUGAAGUACUUACCACACAAAUGAGCAUGAAAGUACAAUAGCAAUAUCUGCCACGAAGCUGUUGUUCCCCACCAGAACCAAAUGAGCGCAAGAUCUGACAAAGAAAAAAAAAGGUUCAUCUUUUAUUCCGCCAAACACUUUCAUCUAAAUCAAGAGGGUGGGAUGUGGUUAUUGCUGUGUUUUUAGACAGAAUCAACAGUUUCUGGGUCUGAGAUAUUGCAUACACCCUCUCAGUCCCUGUAUCCUCAGAUGGAGUCACCUGAGAAUCCACAGCAAGUCCUAACCGGGGAUGGGUCUGGGUGGUUAAGGAAGGUUGGCCUCAGAACUGGGCCAGGGGCACUGCUUUGCUUUUGCUGUUU
Molecule: long non-coding RNA, 965 nt
Filed under: Homo sapiens (human)
Lineage: Eukaryota; Metazoa; Chordata; Mammalia; Primates; Hominidae
Description: long intergenic non-protein coding RNA 2614
Source: RNAcentral